This 495-nucleotide ribosomal RNA is filed under the name uncultured bacterium. RNAcentral describes it as "bacterial SSU rRNA". It matches the Rfam family "Bacterial small subunit ribosomal RNA", at positions 29 to 512 of the family's 1533-position model. The record is from RNAcentral.
AGUGAACGCUGGCGGCAGGCCUAAUACAUGCAAGUCGAACGGCAGCACAGCAGAGCUUGCUCUGUGGGUGGCGAGUGGCGGACGGGUGAGGAAUACAUGGGAAUCUGCCCAGUCGUGGGGGAUAACGUAUGGAAACGUACGCUAAUACCGCAUGCGCCCUACGGGGGAAAGCCGGGGACCGAAAGGCCUGGCGCGAUUGGAUGAGCCCAUGUUCGAUUAGCUAGUUGGCGGGGUAAAGGCCCACCAAGGCGACGAUCGAUAGCUGGUCUGAGAGGAUGAUCAGCCACACUGGAACUGAGACACGGUCCAGACUCCUACGGGAGGCAGCAGUAGGGGAAUAUUGGACAAUGGGGGCAACCCUGAUCCACCAUGCCGCGUGAGUGAAGAAGGCCCUCGGGUUGUAAAGCUCUUUUGUCCGGAAAGAAAAGCAUUCGGUUAAUACCCGGGUGUUCUGACGGUACCGGAAGAAUAAGCACCGGCUAACUUCGUGCCAGC